RNA transcript from Sapajus apella (tufted capuchin), 3505 nucleotides. It is a transcript of the gene named zinc finger CCCH domain-containing protein 14-like, with no coding region annotated. NCBI's taxonomy places the organism in Eukaryota, Metazoa, Chordata, Mammalia, Primates, Cebidae. The transcript has 3 exons. The record is from RefSeq and is a predicted model, not a curated record.
GGGGUAGGAUCCCGCUGUAGGCUCGGGUAAGAUAUGCGCCAGGCACGCAGUGCUGAGUUCCCGCAAGCUGCGGAGCCAUGGAUAUCGGCACCGAGAUCAGCCAUAAGAUCCGGAGUGUCAUUAAGGGGAAAUUGCAAGAAUUAGGAGCUUAUGUUGAUAGAGAACUUCCUGAUUACAUUAUGGUGAUGGUGGCCAACAAGAAAAGUCAGGACCAAAUGACAGAGGAUCUUUCCCUGUUUCUAGGGAACAACACAAUUCGAUUCACCAUAGGGCUUCAUGGUGUAUUAGAUAAACUUCACUCUGUUACAACUGGACCUUCUAGUCUAAAGUCUUCUGAUACCAACAUCUUUGAUAGUAAUAUGUCUUCAAACAAGAGCAGUUUCAGUGGGGGAGAUGAGAGGAAGCAUGAAGCUACAGUGCCACCACAUGCCAUUCCUAGCACUAGACCUGAAAAAAGAGAUUCCAGAGUUCCUACACGUUCACAGGAGUCAAAAACCACCAAUGUCAGGCAGACUUAUGAUGAUGGAGCUGCAACCCGACUAAUGUCAACAGUGAAACCUUUGAGGGAGCCAGCACCCUCUGAAGAUGUGACUGAUAUUAAGCCAGAAUCAGAUGAUCUCAUUGACGAAGACCUGAACUUUGUGCAGGAGAACACUUUAUCUCAGAAAAAACCUACAGUGACACUUACAUAGGUUUCUUCUCGCCCUUCUAUGGAAAUUUAUUGACCACCUGCAAGUAUAAAGGCAGAUAGUGGUGUUCGUUUAAACAGGUUGCAAUUUCAACAGCAGCAAAAUAAUAUUCAUGCUGCCAAGCAGCUUGAUAUACAGAAUAGUUGGGUAUAUGAAACAGGACGUUUGUGUGAUCCAGAAGCGCUUAACAGCUUAGAAGAAACAUACAGUCCGUUCUUUAGAAACAACUUGGAGAGGGCCAGUCUGGAGGAUGAAAACUUUUGGAAGAGAAAGUUCCCUGUUGUAAGUUCAGUUGUUAAAGUAAAAAAAUUCAAUCAUGAUGGAGAAGAGGAGGAAGAUGAUGAUGACUAUGGUCUCGAACAGAAAGCAUCUCCAGCAGUGUGUCUGUGCCACCAAAUCCUGAAAGGAGACCUUCUCUUCCACCUUCUAAACAAGCUAACAGGAAUCUGAUUUUGAAGGCUAUGUCUGAAACUCAAGAAUCCAUAACAAAAACAACUAACUAUUCCACAGUCCCACAGAAACAGACACUUCCAGUUGCUCCCAGAACUUGAACUUCUCAAGAAGAAUUGCUAGCAGAAGUGGUCCAGGGACAAAGUAGGACCCCCAGAAUAAGUCCCCCCAUUAAAGAAAAGGAAACAAAAGGAGAUUCCAUAGAAAAAAAAUCAAGGAACUCAACAGAGGCAAUUAUUAUCCCAACGACAAAUUGACCCAAUAAUGGCAGAAACUGCAGAUCGGUCAAGACUACUAUGACAUGGAAUCCGUGUUCCAUGCAGACACAAGAUAAUUUACUCUGAAGAAGCCAAAGCUGUCUGAGGAAAUAGUAGUGGCACCAAACCAAGAGUCGGGGAUGAAGACUGCAGAUUCCCUUCGGGUACUUUCAGGACACCUUAUGCAGACACGAGAUUUUGUACAACCAGAUAAACCUACAAGUCCCAAGUUUACAGUGAUGCUGGAUGGUGUCCCCAGUCCCCAAGGAUACAUGUCAGAUCAAGAGGAGGACAUGUGCUUUGAAGGAAUGAAACCCGUAAACCAAACUGCAGCCUCAAACAAGGGACUCAGAGGUCUCCACCCACAGCAGUUGCACUUGCUGAGCAGGCAGCUUAAGGACCCAAAGAGCAGCUUUUCCAACGCUGACAUGAGUGAACUGACUAUGGCACAGAAACCAGAAAAACUUUUGAAGCGCUGCAAGUACUGGCCUGUUUGUAAAAACGGGGAUGAGUGUGCCUACCAUCACCCCAUCUCACCCUGCAAAGCCUUCCCCAACUGUAAAUUUGCUGAAAAAAUGUGUUUGUUCACCCAAAUUGUAAAUAUGAUGCAAAGUGUAUGAAACCAGAUUGUCCUUUCACUCAUGUGAACAGAAGAAUUCCAGAACUGUCUCCAAAACCAGCAGUUGCACCGCCAGCACCACUUCCUAGCUCGUAAGAAGAUGGAAUGUCCCUUCUAUCAUCCAAAACACUGUGGUAAGUUGAUCAAUACCUGUAGGUUUAACACUCAGUGUACGAGACCGGACUGCACAUUCUCCCAUCCCACCAUUAAUGUACCACCACAACAUGCCUCGAAAUGGAUUCGACCUCAAACCAACGAAUAACACUCAGUCCUACCUGGCAGAAGAUCAUGCAGUUUGGAAGUUUCCAUCUACUGAUGAAUACUCUACAGAACGUCAAAUCUUUGAAACUUGGAAUAUAUUUUUUUCAUAAUAUGAAGUUUAUUGCCUAACCAAAUUGUCUAAUUUUUCAAGUUUGUAAGUUUAUUAAGUGAUUUUAACAUUGGGUGUUUCUGCUUUGUUUUUACUACGCGAAGACAGCUUAAAGAAGAGCUAAAUUCUGUGAAACGAUUUGGGGCAUGUUUGUGCACUGCUGUUGUGAGGAUCGGCAUAUGACACUGACGUCAUGGUUAGUGAUGGUGCUGCAGCUUACGGGGCUACACGGUUGCUGUGUGAGUGGAGAGAUACAGUGAGGCAGUUGUCAUUAUUCUGUAAAUUGAACUGCUUUUCCUUUUCCCAAAGAUCAUAUAAUGUUCAUAAUCCACCAUGAAAACAGGACUGGCCAGAGGUACAGAGGCUGCUGAAAAUAUUUAAUUCUGCUUUUUAAUUUUUAAGUGAAUUUAGUUUGAAAAGCUUCAUAAUACAAGCGUCUCAGGCUCAGUGCUACUUUGGUAAAGUUCCCGGUUUCCUUGCCUUUUGUGACAGGAUGAACGUGGUGGGUAUGGACAGUGAAGACAGCUGCAAUGGCAAGUGCAGAAAACAGAAACAGUUCUACACAUCUACUAACAGCAUAAUACCUUCGAAAGAAAUUUUUUGGGAAACUACAUUAUCACAAAAUUACACAAAUUUUUUUACAAGUAUUUACAUAAGGUAUCUGAAAACAGACUUUAAAGUCACAAGAUUAUACAUGUACAUAUAUAGUCUCACAUUCUGAAAAAUAACAUUCUCAGAAAUAGCUCCACAGAAAAUAUACUUAGUGACUACUGAAGAUAAUUUUUGAAAUGUAAAAAUUAGAUUGAAAUAGUAUAUUUUAAAUGAGAGAACUAUAAUUACAGAGAUCAGAUAGGUAAACUGCAAGAUAGGAUGAAACUUUUGGCUUACUGUAUUACAGAGUUGUGUGUGUGUGUGUGUGUGUGUGUGUGUGUGUGUGUGUGUGGUUUUCAAAACUGUUAAGGCAAGAAGUAUCAAAUGCUUUAGAGUUCAAUAACAAACAGAUCAGUGAUUUCAAAGGCUUGUUGUAUACUAGUGUUAAAAAUUGAAGCUUAAAAGGUGGUUAGAAAAGUAGAUUAAUGCAAAAGGGAUAAUAAAGACUGCAGCAUUCUCAGGACCAAAU